RNAcentral lists this transfer RNA (70 nucleotides) under Timema californicum (California timema). RNAcentral describes it as "tRNA-Ser". It matches the Rfam family "tRNA". Rfam says of the family: Transfer RNA (tRNA) molecules are approximately 80 nucleotides in length. Lineage: Eukaryota; Metazoa; Arthropoda; Insecta; Phasmatodea; Timematidae. The record is from RNAcentral.
AAUUAAUAAGUUUUAAGUUAAACAUAUGUCUUGAAAUCAUAAAUAAGAAGUUAGAUUCUUCUAUUAAUUU